GGGGAAUAUUGGACAAUGGGCGCAAGCCUGAUCCAGCCAUGCCGCGUGAGUGAUGAAGGCCCUAGGGUUGUAAAGCUCUUUCACCGGUGAAGAUAAUGACGGUAGCCGGAGAAGAAGCCCCGGCUAACUUCGUGCCAGCAGCCGCGGUAAUACGAAGGGGGCUAGCGUUGUUCGGAAUUACUGGGCGUAAAGCGCACGUAGGCGGACUGGUCAGUUAGGGGUGAAAUCCCGGGGCUCAACCCCGGAACUGCCUUUAAUACUGCCAGUCUAGAGUCCGAGAGAGGUGAGUGGAAUUCCGAGUGUAGAGGUGAAAUUCGUAGAUAUUCGGAGGAACACCAGUGGCGAAGGCGGCUCACUGGCUCGGUACUGACGCUGAGGUGCGAAAGCGUGGGGAGCAAAC
RNAcentral lists this ribosomal RNA (400 nucleotides) under uncultured bacterium. Its description in RNAcentral is "bacterial SSU rRNA". It matches the Rfam family "Bacterial small subunit ribosomal RNA", at positions 356 to 773 of the family's 1533-position model. The record is from RNAcentral.